UGAGGACCGUAUUCAUGGAAGAGGAUUGAACAGUAAAGAGCCCAGGAUUUGAUAAAAAUGAGAAUAUAUCGCCUCAAGCAGAAGCAGAUGAAUAUAUGGGAGAUGAAGUAGACAGUAUGUUGGAUAAAUCUGGAGUAAAGAACCCAGCAAUUGGUAAAGAUGAGAAUAUAUCGCCUCAAGUAAAAGGAGAUGAAGACAUGGGAGAUGAAAUUGACAGUAUGUUGGCUACAUCUGGAGGUCUUUUCUCCUGAGAACACGGGACUCCAGCAUCUUCGGAUUCUGCUCUUGGAGGGGUUUGCCCCACAUCCUCUAUAUUGCAGAAAACAGGACUAGGCUCUACCUCUGUAGAUCAAGCACGACUGAAAUCCGUGCUCUCAAAAGAUGCUGGGGAGAAAGAGUGCCAUUCUUCACAAAUGCUGCUACAUCAUUGGACUGAAAGUGAAUGGCCCAUGUGUUGCCACUGAUGUGAGCCAUUUGCCUGUUGUGCUUCA
RNAcentral lists this non-coding RNA (491 nucleotides) under Mus musculus (house mouse). The record is from RNAcentral. Lineage: Eukaryota; Metazoa; Chordata; Mammalia; Rodentia; Muridae.